CUUUCUUUGCUGGCGACCGGCGCACGGGUGAGUAACACGUAUCCAACCUGCCCUUUACUCGGGGAUAGCCUUUCGAAAGAAAGAUUAAUACCCGAUAGCAUAAUGAUUCCGCAUGGUUUCAUUAUUAAAGGAUUCCGGUAAAGGAUGGGGAUGCGUUCCAUUAGGCUGUUGGUGGGGUAACGGCCCACCAAGCCUUCGAUGGAUAGGGGUUCUGAGAGGAAGGUCCCCCACAUUGGAACUGAGACACGGUCCAA
This 254-nucleotide ribosomal RNA is filed under the name uncultured bacterium. RNAcentral's name for it is "partial 16S ribosomal RNA". It matches the Rfam family "Bacterial small subunit ribosomal RNA", at positions 79 to 334 of the family's 1533-position model. The record is from RNAcentral.